AUACGGAGGAUCCAAGCGUUAUCCGGAUUUAUUGGGUUUAAAGGGUGCGUAGGCGGACUGGUAAGUCAGUUGUGAAAGUUUGCGGCUCAACCGUAAAAUUGCAGUUGAUACUGGCUGUCUUGAGUACAGUAGAGGUGGGCGGAAUUCGUGGUGUAGCGGUGAAAUGCUUAGAUAUCACGAAGAACUCCGAUUGCGAAGGCAGCUCACUGGACUGCAACUGACACUGAUGCUCGAAAGUGUGGGUAUCAAACAGGAUUAGAUACCCUGGUAGUCCACACAGUAAACGAUGAAUACUCGCUGUUUGCGAUAUACAGUAAGCGGCCAAGCGAAAGCAUUAAGUAUUCCACCUGGGGAGUACGCCGGCAACGGUGAAACUCAAAGGAAUUGACGGGG
This 393-nucleotide ribosomal RNA is filed under the name uncultured bacterium. Its description in RNAcentral is "partial 16S ribosomal RNA". It matches the Rfam family "Bacterial small subunit ribosomal RNA", at positions 523 to 918 of the family's 1533-position model. The record is from RNAcentral.